AUUGAACGCUGGCGGCAUGCUUUACACAUGCAAGUCGAACGGUAACGCGGGGGCAACCCUGGCGACGAGUGGCGAACGGGUGAGUAAUACAUCGGAACGUACCCAGUUGUGGGGGAUAGCUCGGCGAAAGCCGGAUUAAUACCGCAUACGACCUACGGGUGAAAGCGGGGGCUCGCAAGACCUCGCGCUAUUGGAGCGGCCGAUGGCAGAUUAGCUUGUUGGUGAGGUAAGAGCUACCAAGGCGACGAUCUGUAGCUGGUCUGAGAGGACGACCAGCCACACUGGGACUGAGACACGGCCCAGACUCCUACGGGAGGCAGCAGUGGGGAAUUUUGGACAAUGGGCGAAAGCCUGAUCCAGCAAUGCCGCGUGUGUGAUGAAGGCCUGGUGU
Molecule: ribosomal RNA, 391 nt
Filed under: uncultured bacterium
Lineage: Bacteria
Description: bacterial SSU rRNA
Rfam family: Bacterial small subunit ribosomal RNA
Source: RNAcentral